RNAcentral lists this ribosomal RNA (690 nucleotides) under Pediococcus acidilactici. RNAcentral describes it as "bacterial SSU rRNA". Lineage: Bacteria; Bacillati; Bacillota; Bacilli; Lactobacillales; Lactobacillaceae. The record is from RNAcentral.
UGAGGCUCGAAAGCAUGGGUAGCGAACAGGAUUAGAUACCCUGGUAGUCCAUGCCGUAAACGAUGAUUACUAAGUGUUGGAGGGUUUCCGCCCUUCAGUGCUGCAGCUAACGCAUUAAGUAAUCCGCCUGGGGAGUACGACCGCAAGGUUGAAACUCAAAAGAAUUGACGGGGGCCCGCACAAGCGGUGGAGCAUGUGGUUUAAUUCGAAGCUACGCGAAGAACCUUACCAGGUCUUGACAUCUUCUGMCARYCUAAGAGAUUAGRSGUUCCCUUCGGGGACAGAAUGACAGGUGGUGCAUGGUUGUCGUCAGCUCGUGUCGUGAGAUGUUGGGUUAAGUCCCGCAACGAGCGCAACCCUUAUUACUAGUUGCCAGCAUUMAGUUGGGCACUCUAGUGAGACUGCCGGUGACAAACCGGAGGAAGGUGGGGACGACGUCAAAUCAUCAUGCCCCUUAUGACCUGGGCUACACACGUGCUACAAUGGAUGGUACAACGAGUYGCGAAACCGCGAGGUUWAGCUAAUCUCUUAAAACCAUUCUCAGUUCGGACUGUAGGCUGCAACUCGCCUACACGAAGUCGGAAUCGCUAGUAAUCGCGGAUCAGCAUGCCGCGGUGAAUACGUUCCCGGGCCUUGUACACACCGCCCGUCACACCAUGAGAGUUUGUAACACCCAAAGCCGGUGGGGUA